This 406-nucleotide ribosomal RNA is filed under the name uncultured bacterium. RNAcentral describes it as "partial 16S ribosomal RNA". It matches the Rfam family "Bacterial small subunit ribosomal RNA", at positions 30 to 526 of the family's 1533-position model. The record is from RNAcentral.
AUUGAACGCUGGCGGCAGGCCUAACACAUGCAAGUCGAACGAGUGGCGGACGGGUGAGUAAUGUCUGGGAAACUGCCUGCUGUAGGGGGAUAACUACUGGAAACGGUAGCUAAUCCCGCAUACCAUCGGAUGUGCCCAGAUGGGAUUAGCUAGUAGGUGGGGUAAAGGCUCACCUAGGCGACGAUCCCUAGCUGGUCUGAGAGGAUGACCAGCGACAAUGGAAAUGAGAAACGGUCCAGACUCCUACGGGAGGCAGCAGGGGGGAAUAGUGCACAAUGGGCGAAAGCCUGAUGCAGCCAUGCCGCGUGUAUGAAGAAGGCCUUCGGGUUGUAAAGUACUUUCAGCGGGGAGGCGUUACCCGCAGAAGAAGCACCGGCUAACUACGUGCCAGCAGCCGCGGUAAUUC